UCCGGUUUGUCACCGGCAGUCUCGUUAGAGUGCCCUUGCGUAGCAACUAAUGAUAAGGGUUGCGCUCGUUGCGGGACUUAACCCAACAUCUCACGACACGAGCUGACGACAGCCAUGCACCACCUGUGAAAGUGCCCCGAAGGGAGACCGUGUUUCCACGGCUGUCACUCACAUGUCAAACCCAGGUAAGGUUCUUCGCGUUGCGUCGAAUUAAUCCACAUAAUCCACCGCUUGUGCGGGCCCCCGUCAAUUCCUUUGAGUUUCAGCCUUGCGGCCGUACUCCCCAGGCGGGGUACUUAUUGCGUUAGCGACGGCACCGAAGGGGUCGCUCCCCCCGGCGCCUAGUACCCAUCGUUUACGGCGUGGACUAC
Molecule: unclassified non-coding RNA, 371 nt
Filed under: uncultured bacterium
Lineage: Bacteria
Description: contains 16S-23S intergenic spacer region
Source: RNAcentral